Molecule: non-coding RNA, 1448 nt
Organism: Sus scrofa (pig)
Lineage: Eukaryota; Metazoa; Chordata; Mammalia; Artiodactyla; Suidae
Source: RefSeq, a predicted model, not a curated record
UCUGUCAGGGACUCCCCAUGUUUUUUAAUUAUUACUGUACGUCAUCUCUAUCUGGUUUUCCUCUCCCUGUGAACAGGCUUUAGUCUACACCAGCUCUUUAAAAGCUCAGUUUUCAAUCCUACUUAUAAUGACUGUCCUUUGUCACACCUGGCCUUAUCUCGCUGCCCAGCUUUCAGUAGAAUCUACUUCAGCAAGCAGGCGGCAGUCACCUGGAGGGCAGGCUGCAGGGUGCCCCCCGCCCCAGGUGUGGGGGGUGGGUGCUGAUAAUUUGCAUUUCCUAGCAGGUUCCCAGGUGGUGUUGAUACUGCAGAUCUGGGACCUCACGUUGAGACUCGAGGCUCUACCUGUGUGCCUUCUGCCUCAUACUAUCUGCCAAUUUUCACAGCUAGAACUACUUAAGUUUUAUCUCCUGUAGUGUUGAUUCUGCUCCACGCAGGGAGGCAGGAAUAGGAGAUUUUCAUUGGUUCAGCACGACACCUACCUUUACGGCAGGUUUCUCUUUGCGGGGGGUAGCAGAGCCUUUGCUGUGUUCUUUGACUGUGGUGCUUCAUUCCUUCUGGGUUCCUUGCUGGACGCGCUGUUUCCUCCAAUACUAGGACACUUCGAUUCCCCUUGCUCAGUUCCUUCUGGACUCUGGAGACGAGCAGGCUCUCCACCCCCAGCCUCCAUCUCCCUCCUGCUCCGAGACUCAGCGCUGGCUUCACUUAUUCCUCUAUGAUUACUUUUCUGGUUAAGAUCGCGUACCUUGGCGAGAAAGUUCUAAUGCCACCUCUGUGCAUGACUUAAAUCCAACAAAUGGAAGUUCCUGGGCCAGGGACUGGAUCCGAGCUGCCGCUGAGGCAAUGCCGAAUCCUUUAACCCACUGCGCCGGUCGGAUGUUGAAUCUACACCUGCACCUCCCACUGCAGUCGGAGUCUUAACCCACUGCCCCCCAGCAGGAACUCCAGCGGGAAUCAUUCUUAGGAGCCGUCGUGGUACCCUGCAUAGUUCUCAACGGACCGUCAUGGUGACUUAUGUCAAAUCCAUCCUCUUUGAUCAAUCUCCAUCACCCCACCUUAGUCGAGACUUUCUCCUUCUCACCAGAAUUGCGGCCACAGCCUCGUCACUGCACUGGGUGUUCUGUCCAUCUCAGAUUCAUCUUGAACGCCUGUGCCACCAUGUUGGAGCUAAUUCCGAUUCACAGUAAACCAUCCCUCUGCCUUAAAUACUUUUUAAACUCCAGACUCAUCUUAAGUGUAAAAUAAAAUCCAAGCUUCUUAACAAAGUAUAUAAAACUCUGGCCCUUUACUGGUAUAAUUUUGUCCGUUUACUUACUUUCAGAUGUCACGCUCCAUUGUGCUGUAUCAUACCUCUGUGCCCUAAAACGACACAAUCCUGUCGGUAUUAUCAUCUCCUUUCUUCUUUACCUUGCUGCCUCCUAUUUAUCUUUUAAAAUUCAGUUCAGGUGU